Molecule: ribosomal RNA, 385 nt
Filed under: uncultured bacterium
Lineage: Bacteria
Description: bacterial SSU rRNA
Rfam family: Bacterial small subunit ribosomal RNA
Source: RNAcentral
AUUGAACGCUGGCGGCAUGCUUUACACAUGCAAGUCGAACGGCAGCGGGGGCUUCGGCCUGCCGGCGAGUGGCGAACGGGUGAGUAAUGCAUCGGAACGUGCCCAGUCAUGGGGGAUAACUACGCGAAAGCGUAGCUAAUACCGCAUACGCCCUGAGGGGGAAAGUGGGGGAUCUUCGGACCUCACGUGAUUGGAGCGGCCGAUGUCAGAUUAGCUAGUUGGUGAGGUAAAGGCUCACCAAGGCGACGAUCUGUAGCGGGUCUGAGAGGAUGAUCCGCCACACUGGGACUGAGACACGGCCCAGACUCCUACGGGAGGCAGCAGUGGGGAAUUUUGGACAAUGGGCGCAAGCCUGAUCCAGCCAUGCCGCGUGAGUGAAGAAGGC